Molecule: long non-coding RNA, 915 nt
Organism: Cuculus canorus (common cuckoo)
Lineage: Eukaryota; Metazoa; Chordata; Aves; Cuculiformes; Cuculidae
Exons: 3
Source: RefSeq, a predicted model, not a curated record
UUGCUGCAGCUGUUUCCUCCACAGAAGGGGCUAGAAGGUGCUGGGGGAGGAGAGGAAGAGAAGGGAUCUUCAUCACCAUGAGGAUCAGAGAACAGUUUCAGCCACACUGAGUAAUACGAAUGCUUUCAAACUGAUGUGACACGCGCUGGACACUGUUUGCUGCCAAGGUGACUCAGCAAAGGCAGAAAACAAUACAUGCAGAUACUUGCACGGAGCAGGAUUAUGGGCCUCAGCGAGUGUCCUUGAAUGGCCAGCAGCUUUUACAUGCCCUCCUUUGGGCUCUGGAAAUAUCUUUCUGAAGUACAAGGAGGUGCCUUCAGCCAGUGCUUCAAUAGGUGUCAGCCUCGGUGAUGCUGGUGUUGCAGCUGGGAGGCUGUGCAGAGCCCAGGGAGUCCCAGAAAUUCAGUGGAAAGCAGCAGCAAUUCUCUCCCUCUCAAUGUCACUUCACAGCCCUCACUGAUGAUGCCAUUCAGCUGGAUGAAAAAGAGGCCUCCGGUGUCAACAGAGUGGAAUAAACACCCCGUCAAAAGCAAACCAGCAAUUUUUUAUUGUCGAGUCCAAGAAUAAUGCCAAUUUCUAAUGUUAUUUGCAACUUUAGAUUUAUGAUUAUAUGUCAGGUUUUGUCGAUUUGUCUAGAAAACCAGACUGCCAUUUAAAAAGUAACAUUACUAUUACUUUAAAAUAACUCGUGGCUCUAUUUUUUCAUCUGCAUGCGUUUUUUGCAUGCAUGGGAGACAAAGAAAAACCAGCAGGUUUGCGUCCAAGAGUGACCAAAGCCAUAGGCAGGCAUUACACUGAGCAGGUUUGUCUUUGUGCAGAGCUGCGCUGCCUAAGGGAGAACAGUUACUAGUGGUUUUUCUGCUGUUCAUCUUUACCGACUCCAGGUUGGAAAGCCCCAGAGUCACCAGUAAGGAU